RNAcentral lists this ribosomal RNA (484 nucleotides) under uncultured bacterium. RNAcentral's name for it is "partial 16S ribosomal RNA". It matches the Rfam family "Bacterial small subunit ribosomal RNA", at positions 29 to 507 of the family's 1533-position model. The record is from RNAcentral.
AUUGAACGCUGGCGGCAUGCUUUACACAUGCAAGUCGAACGGCAGCGCGGGCUUCGGCCUGGCGGCGAGUGGCGAACGGGUGAGUAAUACAUCGGAACGUGCCCAGUAGUGGGGGAUAGCUCGGCGAAAGCCGGAUUAAUACCGCAUACGACCUGAGGGUGAAAGCGGGGGAUCUUCGGACCUCGCGCUAUUGGAGCGGCCGAUGGCAGAUUAGCUAGUUGGUGGGGUAAAGGCCUACCAAGGCGACGAUCUGUAGCUGGUCUGAGAGGACGACCAGCCACACUGGGACUGAGACACGGCCCAGACUCCUACGGGAGGCAGCAGUGGGGAAUUUUGGACUAAGGGCGAAAGCCUGAUCCAGCAAUGCCGCGUGUGUGAUGAAGGCCUUCGGGUUGUAAAGCACUUUUGGCGGGAACGAAAAGGACUGUGCCAAUACCACGGUUCGAUGACGGUACCCGCAGAAUAAGCACCGGCUAACUACGUG